CGGAUUGUAGCUUAUUUAAAGUUUAUUAUUUACAUUAAUAUGAAAAUAUUUUAUUCUUUCUGA
This 63-nucleotide transfer RNA is filed under the name Krisna quadrimaculosus. Its description in RNAcentral is "tRNA-Val". Lineage: Eukaryota; Metazoa; Arthropoda; Insecta; Hemiptera; Cicadellidae. The record is from RNAcentral.